AUCCUUUUGUGUUUUAUAAGCAUAAUGAUUGGGUUUUCACACCCAUGUGUGUGAUGUAGCUCCCUCAAACCUCCUUAGGACAUUUGCACAUUACCCAUAUGAUG
Molecule: small nucleolar RNA, 104 nt
Organism: Nycticebus coucang (slow loris)
Lineage: Eukaryota; Metazoa; Chordata; Mammalia; Primates; Lorisidae
Product: small nucleolar RNA U13
Exons: 1
Source: RefSeq, a predicted model, not a curated record